CGAAUGCUGACAUAAGUAACGAUAAAGCGGGUGAAAAGCCCGCUCGCCGGAAGACCAAGGGUUCCUGUCCAACGUUAAUCGGGGCAGGGUGAGUCGACCCCUAAGGCGAGGCCGAAAGGCGUAGUCGAUGGGAAACAGGUUAAUAUUCCUGUACUUGGUGUUACUGCGAAGGGGGGACGGAGAAGGCUAUGUUGGCCGGGCGACGGUUGUCCCGGUUUAAGCGUGUAGGCUGGUUUUCCAGGCAAAUCCGGAAAAUCAAGGCUGAGGCGUGAUGACGAGGCACUACGGUGCUGAAGCAACAAAUGCCCUGCUUCCAGGAAAAGCCUCUAAGCAUCAGGUAACAUCAAAUCGUACCCCAAACCGACACAGGUGGUCAGGUAGAGAAUACCAAGGCGCUUGAGAGAACUCGGGUGAAGGAACUAGGCAAAAUGGUGCCGUAACUUCGGGAGAAGGCACGCUGAUAUGUAGGUGAAGCGACUUGCUCGUGGAGCUGAAAUCAGUCGAAGAUACCAGCUGGCUGCAACUGUUUAUUAAAAACACAGCACUGUGCAAACACGAAAGUGGACGUAUACGGUGUGACGCCUGCCCGGUGCCGGAAGGUUAAUUGAUGGGGUUAGCGCAAGCGAAGCUCUUGAUCGAAGCCCCGGUAAACGGCGGCCGUAACUAUAACGGUCCUAAGGUAGCGAAAUUCCUUGUCGGGUAAGUUCCGACCUGCACGAAUGGCGUAAUGAUGGCCAGGCUGUCUCCACCCGAGACUCAGUGAAAUUGAACUCGCUGUGAAGAUGCAGUGUACCCGCGGCAAGACGGAAAGACCCCGUGAACCUUUACUAUAGCUUGACACUGAACAUUGAGCCUUGAUGUGUAGGAUAGGUGGGAGGCUUUGAAGUGUGGACGCCAGUCUGCAUGGAGCCGACCUUGAAAUACCACCCUUUAAUGUUUGAUGUUCUAACGUGGACCCGUGAUCCGGGUUGCGGACAGUGUCUGGUGGGUAGUUUGACUGGGGCGGUCUCCUCCUAAAGAGUAACGGAGGAGCACGAAGGUUGGCUAAUCCUGGUCGGACAUCAGGAGGUUAGUGCAAUGGCAUAAGCCAGCUUGACUGCGAGCGUGACGGCGCGAGCAGGUGCGAAAGCAGGUCAUAGUGAUCCGGUGGUUCUGAAUGGAAGGGCCAUCGCUCAACGGAUAAAAGGUACUCCGGGGAUAACAGGCUGAUACCGCCCAAGAGUUCAUAUCGACGGCGGUGUUUGGCACCUCGAUGUCGGCUCAUCACAUCCUGGGGCUGAAGUAGGUCCCAAGGGUAUGGCUGUUCGCCAUUUAAAGUGGUACGCGAGCUGGGUUUAGAACGUCGUGAGACAGUUCGGUCCCUAUCUGCCGUGGGCGCUGGAGAACUGAGGGGGGCUGCUCCUAGUACGAGAGGACCGGAGUGGACGCAUCACUGGUGUUCGGGUUGUCAUGCCAAUGGCACUGCCCGGUAGCUAAAUGCGGAAGAGAUAAGUGCUGAAAGCAUCUAAGCACGAAACUUGCCCCGAGAUGAGUUCUCCCUGACCCUUUAAGGGUCCUGAAGGAACGUUGAAGACGACGACGUUGAUAGGCCGGGUGUGUAAGCGCAGCGAUGCGUUGAGCUAACCGGUACUAAUGAACCGUGAGG
Molecule: ribosomal RNA, 1645 nt
Filed under: Escherichia coli
Lineage: Bacteria; Pseudomonadati; Pseudomonadota; Gammaproteobacteria; Enterobacterales; Enterobacteriaceae
Description: partial 23S ribosomal RNA
Rfam family: Bacterial large subunit ribosomal RNA
Source: RNAcentral